AGAGUUUGAUCCUGGCUCAGGAUGAACGCUAGCUACAGGCUUAACACAUGCAAGUCGAGGGGAAACGACAUCGAAAGCUUGCUUUUGAUGGGCGUCGACCGGCGCACGGGUGAGUAACGCGUAUCCAACCUGCCCACCACUUGGGGAUAACCUUGCGAAAGUAAGACUAAUACCCAAUGACGUCUCUAGAAGACAUCUGAAAGAGAUUAAAGAUUUAUCGGUGAUGGAUGGGGAUGCGUCUGAUUAGCUGGUUGGCGGGGUAACGGCCCACCAAGGCGACGAUCAGUAGGGGUUCUGAGAGGAAGGUCCCCCACAUUGGAACUGAGACACGGUCCAAACUCCUACGGGAGGCAGCAGUGAGGAAUAUUGGUCAAUGGACGAGAGUCUGAACCAGCCAAGUAGCGUGCAGGAUGACGGCCCUAUGGGUUGUAAACUGCUUUUAUAAGGGAAUAAAGUGAGUCUCGUGAGACUUUUUGCAUGUACCUUAUGAAUAAGGACCGGCUAAUUCCGUGCCAGCAGCCGCGGUAAUACGGAAGGUCCGGGCGUUAUCCGGAUUUAUUGGGUUUAAAGGGAGCGUAGGCCGGAGAUUAAGCGUGUUGUGAAAUGUAGACGCUCAACGUCUGCACUGCAGCGCGAACUGGUUUCCUUGAGUACGCACAAAGUGGGCGGAAUUCGUGGUGUAGCGGUGAAAUGCUUAGAUAUCACGAAGAACUCCGAUUGCGAAGGCAGCUCACUGGAGCGCAACUGACGCUGAAGCUCGAAAGUGCGGGUAUCGAACAGGAUUAGAUACCCUGGUAGUCCGCACGGUAAACGAUGGAUGCCCGCUGUUGGUCUGAAUAGGUCAGCGGCCAAGCGAAAGCAUUAAGCAUCCCACCUGGGGAGUACGCCGGCAACGGUGAAA
Molecule: ribosomal RNA, 901 nt
Filed under: uncultured bacterium
Lineage: Bacteria
Description: bacterial SSU rRNA
Rfam family: Bacterial small subunit ribosomal RNA
Source: RNAcentral